GGAUUAGGUUGUCUGUUGUUGUACAUCCUCGCCUAAAUCCCGUUUGGUGUUUUGGAAGACAAGAGGUUAAUGAUAUGGGCCUGUACGAGUCUGUGCGUUCUGGGGGUUUCCCUGGUUUUAGUAUCGGUGUGACUACUGCGUGCUUCCAUGCUUCAGGUUUCCCGUCUUCCCACAUCCCUGAGUGGGCAUUCAAGUCUCCGCCUAUGAUAGUGGUAUUACGUGGGGCGUUAAGGAUGGCUUCUAUGUUUCCUCUUCUGCACGAGUUCCCGUUUGGGCAGUAAAGGGAAAUAAUGUCUAGGUGCGUAUUGUUUCUAGUUUUUAUUGUGACUCCUAUUGCUUCUAUGUCACUAGAUUGGGGGAGUGGCAGUGGUGAAGUUUGAAUAUUUUUUUUAACAAGGAUGGCUACUCCACCACCUUGUGUGGGGCGAUUUAGUGCGAAUGUUUGGUAGGCAGAAAAUUGUGCGGUAUAAUGGUCUU
Molecule: long non-coding RNA, 477 nt
Organism: Daphnia pulicaria
Lineage: Eukaryota; Metazoa; Arthropoda; Branchiopoda; Diplostraca; Daphniidae
Exons: 3
Source: RefSeq, a predicted model, not a curated record